GUGGAUUAGAUACCCUGGUAGUCCACGCCCUAAACGAUGUCUACUAGUUGUCGGGUCUUAAUUGACUUGGUAACGCAGCUAACGCGUGAAGUAGACCGCCUGGGGAGUACGGUCGCAAGAUUAAAACUCAAAGGAAUUGACGGGGACCCGCACAAGCGGUGGAUGAUGUGGAUUAAUUCGAUGCAACGCGAAAAACCUUACCUACCCUUGACAUGGAAGGAAUCCCCGAGAGAUUGGGGAGUGCCCGAAAGGGAACCUUUACACAGGUGCUGCACGGUUGUCGACAACU
This 289-nucleotide ribosomal RNA is filed under the name uncultured bacterium. RNAcentral describes it as "partial 16S ribosomal RNA". It matches the Rfam family "Bacterial small subunit ribosomal RNA", at positions 773 to 1060 of the family's 1533-position model. The record is from RNAcentral.